AUGGACAAAGGCGCCGGGCUCAAACUGGGCGAGGACCAGUCGCUCUCUCCGGGGAGUGAAGCGCCAGACGGUUGGGUAAUGUACUUUGACAGAGCAUUCACACGGCAGGGCACGGUGGCUAGCGUGGUGCUCACAUCCCCCACUCAGGACAAGCUUUACUACGCCGUGCAGCUCUGCUUCCAGCGUGGGGAGAAAGUUUCCAACAACAUAGCAGAGUACGAGGGCCUGAUAGCGGGCCUGAGGGUAGCCAUCGCAUUGGGAGUGAAACGAAUCACCGUCAAGGGCGACUCACAACUCCUCGUCAACUUCUCCAACAAGGUGUACGAGUCGAAGGAUGAGCACAUGGAAGCAUACCUCGAGGAGGUCCGCAAGAUGGAGAAACAGUUUUGGGGGUUGGAGUUGCAGCAUGUGCCUCACGGUACCAAUCAAGAGGCUGACGACAUCGCCAAGAGGGCAUCCAGGCGGCUGCCUCAGGAGCUUGGCGUCUUCGAGGAGUGA
RNAcentral lists this ribosomal RNA (498 nucleotides) under Triticum aestivum (bread wheat). RNAcentral's name for it is "partial small subunit ribosomal RNA". The record is from RNAcentral. Lineage: Eukaryota; Viridiplantae; Streptophyta; Magnoliopsida; Poales; Poaceae.